RNAcentral lists this ribosomal RNA (462 nucleotides) under uncultured bacterium. RNAcentral describes it as "partial 16S ribosomal RNA". It matches the Rfam family "Bacterial small subunit ribosomal RNA", at positions 30 to 508 of the family's 1533-position model. The record is from RNAcentral.
UGAACGCUGACAGAAUGCUUAACACAUGCACGUCGAUGGGGAAGUGGUGCUUGCACCAUGGCAACCAUGGCGGACGGGUGAGUAACGCGUAAGGGACUUACCUGCAGGACUGGGAUAACAGGGGGAAACUCCUGACAAGACCGGAUAAUGUCAUGGAGCUGCAUGGCUUUAUGAUGAAAGGAGACGCCUGCGGAGAGCCUUGCGUCCUAUUAGCUAGUUGGUGAGGUAAUGGCUCACCAAGGCGAAGAUAGGUAGCCGGCCUGAGAGGGUGGACGGCCACAAAGGCAUUGGGAUACGGCCCUUACUGAUACGGGAGGCAGCGGUGGAGACUAGUUGAAGACGGGGGCCACCGUGGUCCAGCAACUUUGUGUGGACGAAGAAGGUUGUCGGGAUGGAAAGGGAUUACAGCAGUAAAGAAGUAAGUGGCGGGAACUGCAGGAGAAACGACCGCCUAAUACGGUC